Triticum aestivum (bread wheat) is the source of this 2764-nucleotide long non-coding RNA. RefSeq lists it as uncharacterized. The record is from RefSeq and is a predicted model, not a curated record. The transcript is spliced from 3 exons. Lineage: Eukaryota; Viridiplantae; Streptophyta; Magnoliopsida; Poales; Poaceae.
UUUGAUGGUAGCUACCACUUCAAAUUUGUGUCCUCAAGAGUACUUCAAACAUCCACCGAGCAAGGACUAGUCGAAUGAACAUGCUGGAUGGCGCGCGCAAGGUCGGAGAACCCGGUGUCUCUGAUGCUGCUUGGCGUAAUUCCUGUCCGAAAGUUGCAGCCGACUUCCCGUCAGAAACUUCGCCCAUUGCUGUUGACCAGCACGUAGGUUCCGACAGUAGGUGGAGCGACUCAAGGAGCGGCAGAGCUCCCUCUUCGAUUUCCAGCUCAUUCAUGACUUCCACCACGAUGCAUAGGUGUCUCAGGCUUUCGAGUGCACCUUCUAUGAUGACAAGCUUGUCCAGUUGAGAUGCGAUCAACUUCAGGUAUGCCAAGCAGCGCACUCUGCUCAGGGCAGAAAGAAUAUCCCUGGUCAGCUGAUAAUGUGGGAAUGAAAGGCACAGUUUAGUGAGACUGCCCAGCAUUGUAAUAAAUGGAGGCAGGCUGCAUAUAUUGUUCCCAUGUAGCUUCAGUGAGCUAAGAUAGCAGCUUGGCGAGGAAUCUUGUUUUUCCAGGGAGAAAUUCAGCAAGUCUUGAGAACAUCCAUCAGCGUAAUUCAGUGAGAGUGAAUGAGCUUUUUUCAAGUCGGUGCUUCUCUUGAUAAACCCUUUAAUGGCAUCAGAUAGACAACUCAAGUAUCGGCGCAUUGCAAUGGGAUCCGUAAUACUAUUAGUGGAUUGCUCGUACCAUAUUUUCACCUUUGUCAAGUGUUUCAUAUGCUCCAUGAGCUGUUCAAAUCCUUGGCUAUUGUUGUUGCUGUCCACAACAAAUCCUGCCACAGUUUCCAAUUUGCUACUCUCUGAGAACCAAGUCUGUAGCUUGAGCAUUUUCCGGCGUCCUACACCAUGUUGCAGUUUGAACUUUCCAAACAGAUGAAUCAGGCAUGGAAGCUUAAUGACUUCAGUGGGCAGAAUCUCUAUUUGUGUUCUUCUUACAUCUAGUGUCUCCAAGAAUCGAAGCUUCUUGAUCUCCUUUGGAAGUGCCUUAACAGCGGACCCGAGGCUUAGAUACCUGAGCAACAACAGGUUCCUGCAUAUCUCUUUGACAUGCUUGUCCUCCAACUGGUUACCGCAUUCUUCUAGAUCCAGAACUCGCAGCAGUUCAUACUUUGAAAAAUCUAAGACAGAUUUGUGCGCACUGCCAAAGACUGUCAGACACCGGACAAGAGAUAGAUCAUUGGCUGCUACGCUGGCACUUGCAUCAUGCACAGAAAGCCAGCGGAUUUUGCUGGUUGGGGUUGGGGGAGCCAGCUGAUCAUAUAACAAGGUAAUGAAGUUUUCACACUUGGACAUGUGCACGAUGAACUCAAGCAUCAUGCCGUGAGUAUGGUAUGUCUUCACCUCUGUGCUGUUUUUGCUCCUGCUGGCACCUUGAUCUGUAGGUUGGAUGAUACUCCGGUUGACCAGCUCAUUGAAAUUGCCGAUAGCGGCAUCCAAGGCGCUACAUAUAUAAUCACCUUUGAUAAACCCUUCAGCUAACCAUUUCCUUAUGAGGCUUCUUCUCCUGACCUUACGACCACUUGGGUAGAUACCUAAAUAUAGCAGACAUGUCUUGAGAUCAUGUUUAACAAGGCUGGUAUAGCUAUGAACAAGCACAUGCUUAAGUCUUGCUAACAUCUCAUUUGUUUCCAGAUGUGCUCCAAGGUUGUGGCACAAUUUUGCCCAGUUUUCCCGUGUCGGAUUAUCUGUGCUUUGCAAGUACCGGGCAGUGGUAACAAGAGCAAGGGGUAGACCGUCACACUUCUGCAGCGCUUCUGAGCCAAGCUGAUCCUCCCGAUCGUCAUCUUGGCCCAAAGAUUCCUUGUAGAAUAACCUUCUUGAGCAUGUCUCGGAUAUUCACUUUGAUGGAAGCCAUAGAUUUACGGACCUUAUUCUUGACCAAGGUAAGCACUUCUGUCUAUUAUUUGCUUCGUUGACAUUUUUUCUAACUGUAAACUGUAUAGUUAAUAACUCAAAAUGUUAUACCCGCUUUUCUAAGUUGGUCUCAUUAGUGUACCAUACAACUUAAAUGGUCUGUUGCCUUCAGAAACAAUAGGGCUCAUUGGCAGGAAUGUAAUUGUUGCACGCUCAAUCGUAUAAAUAGAGAGCCACCCUUCCCGUUUAAAGGGUUGGUACUCGCUAGUCACCCCACUGCAUUUCUCCCUACUUCGCCGAGUUUGGCCACAUGUGACGUCGAUGACGAGAGACAACGCUAAGACUGAUGUUGCGAUGCAAACGACGCGACACUACAACGAGACAACCUACUCCAUGGGAUGGCAUAGAAUAUUUCUCUAGGGUACUCUUGAAAGGAUGGAAAUACGACUAGCCUUAUUUUAGGAUGAAUGGUAAUAAUCUAACCUGCUUAAGAGCAGGAGUGUAAUUACCGCAAGCUCAGAUCCUAUAAAUACAGAACCACGUCAGGCUUUAUGAAGUUUCAAAGGGCAAUUCUCUAGUCACCUCGCUAAAGUAUACACCUCUCACCCCUUAGGGUGAAUUUGGCUAAGUGUUGGCCAUACAACUACAAAAAACAUUUCUAAGUCACCACCAAGAACCACCUGAUCAGAACACAAGCUCUAUGCAAGUACAAAGGGGAUAAGAAGAUCUUGGUCAGAGAGCAAUCAAUAUUGACUGAAAAAUAACUAUCUAAGCUAGUCAUUCUUACCAGAUCCCUUUGAGUAAAUUACCAAUGGUUGAAAACAUACCUCUUGGUCCCAAGGUGAGAUCUUAGGAGUUCGCAGGGGUUGCUGG